CCUACGGGAGGCAGCAGUGAGGAAUAUUGGUCAAUGGCCGGAAGGCUGAACCAGCCAUGCCGCGUGAAGGUCAGUGCCCUAUGGGCGUUAAACUUCUUUUGUGCGGGAGCAAUAAUGGUCACGUGUGGCCAGACGAGAGUACCGUACGAAUAAGCAUCGGCUAACUCCGUGCCAGCAGCCGCGGUAAUACGGGGGAUGCAAGCGUUCUCCGGAUUUAUUGGGUUUAAAGGGUGCGUAUGCUGUGAGGUAAGUCAGCGGUGAAAUGCCCCCGCUCAACGGGGUGAAGUGCCAUUGAUACUGCCUUGCUGGAAUGCGGAUGCCGUGGGAGGAAUGUGUGGUGUAGCGGUGAAAGGCAUAGAUAUCACACAGAACACCGAUUGCGAAGGCAUCUCACGAAUCCGCGAUUGACGCUGAUGCACGAAAGCGUGGGUAUCAAACAGGAUUAGAUACCCGUGUAGUC
RNAcentral lists this ribosomal RNA (460 nucleotides) under uncultured bacterium. RNAcentral's name for it is "partial 16S ribosomal RNA". It matches the Rfam family "Bacterial small subunit ribosomal RNA", at positions 338 to 795 of the family's 1533-position model. The record is from RNAcentral.